Molecule: microRNA precursor, 84 nt
Filed under: Bombyx mori (domestic silkworm)
Lineage: Eukaryota; Metazoa; Arthropoda; Insecta; Lepidoptera; Bombycidae
Description: mir-2807 microRNA precursor family
Rfam family: mir-2807 microRNA precursor family
Source: Rfam by way of RNAcentral
UUAGCUCAUAUUUGUAUGGAAUGGGAUCGUUUGCCUACAUUUGCCGCUAGGGGCGCUGUUCCAACUGCAUACAAAAUUGGGCUA